CACGCCGUAAACGAUGAUCACUCGUGAUUGGCGAUAUACGGUCAGUCACCUAGCGAAAGCGUUAAGUGAUCCACCUGGGGAGUACGAUCGCAAGAUUGAAACUCAAAGGAAUUGACGGGGGCCCGCACAAGCGGUGGAGCAUGUGGUUUAAUUCGAUGAUACGCGAGGAACCUUACCAGGGCUCGAACGUACGUUGACAGUCGCGGAAACGUGAUCUUCUUCGGACAACGUACGAGGUGC
This 240-nucleotide ribosomal RNA is filed under the name uncultured bacterium. Its description in RNAcentral is "partial 16S ribosomal RNA". It matches the Rfam family "Bacterial small subunit ribosomal RNA", at positions 796 to 1041 of the family's 1533-position model. The record is from RNAcentral.